AGCGUGAUUUGGCACAUCCAUACUGUGGGUCUUCAAUUUGCCUUUCGUUCUCUUGGCUUCGGUCCGAGAGGAUGGGCCCAAAAUCUUGCCGCUCUUCUGGGGUUUUUCAAGCUUUCUCCACGCUGCCUUCCCUCCUAUUUCGAUUUCAGGUAGGGCUUCGGUUUUCUCAACAGGGAAUCAUCGCGAUGGCAAGAAGGGAGAGGAAGCGGGCGUUCCGUUCACGGAGUCUUCCAUGAAGCCAGAGACCGAUCGCAGAGGCUGGGCCGAGGGAGAACAUGGCGGUGCAGUUCGUGGAGCGACAGCGUGCGUUCGAUAGUCCUGAAGUGAAGAAGAACUUGGAGGCUGCAAACAUGCAAAUUUCUGAUUUUGUAUGUUAGAGUAAACAUCACCGUUUCAAACCUCUGAGUCUCAUUAUGUUUCCUCGAGGUUAGGAAAUUAUUUUGCUUCGAUCUUCCUGCAUUCUAGAUUUUGAUUGAACCAUCAAAAUACCAGAUGCCUAGAACAACAGACACCUCUAUAUUAGCUUAAGGCUAUAUGUUGGCUCGGAUGUUGACAAUUGUCUCAUGGGUUUGUUAGAUGCUUAAGGCGACUGGUAACCGAUUAUCUUUUGGCAUGACUCCCAAAACUUUAAGGCUACCAAAGCAUGGUGAGAUGCUUUUGUCCGUUCAUGGCUCCCCACAUGGAGCGUGCAAAGAAGAUAACUUGACAGCCUUACAUGAAUCUGGUAAUGGAAGCCAUGAUGGUGCCUCCUAAUAAUAUAAGAGGAGUGAGAUCCAUGCUGGAGUAAGUGGAAAGAAUGAUGUCAACUAUUAAAUCAGUAAUGUCAUUGUCUCUGUAGAGUGUUGUAAGACAUUUUUUAAAAGAUUUAUCUAAACUAACUAUUCUGCCAAUGGCUGACCUUGGUGCCAUACAACAAAGAGGACAUGCUAUUGCUCGCAAAGCAUCAUUCUGACAUUUGGCAAUGGUACUUUUUUCAAACGCUGUGAACCAUUGCUACUGACUCGAAGGUGCAUAUAACUUAUUAUCUAAUUGGCAGUGACAUCUGACCAACAUAGCCGCAGGAUUUUUGAUCUCACGUAAGUGUGGUGUAGUCGUACAUUUUGUAAAGUGCCGCACGUUCCAGCUGCUGAUUCUCCGAUGAAAUGUUUAGCUCCAGGCUGAAAUAUGGAUAUCUAAAGUAAAGGAUAUAUACGGGGAACGAAA
Molecule: non-coding RNA, 1203 nt
Organism: Elaeis guineensis (African oil palm)
Lineage: Eukaryota; Viridiplantae; Streptophyta; Magnoliopsida; Arecales; Arecaceae
Source: RefSeq, a predicted model, not a curated record